Molecule: ribosomal RNA, 266 nt
Filed under: uncultured bacterium
Lineage: Bacteria
Description: partial 16S ribosomal RNA
Rfam family: Bacterial small subunit ribosomal RNA
Source: RNAcentral
UGAGGAAUAUUGCACAAUGGGCGCAAGCCUGAUGCAGCAACGCCGCGUGAGGGACGAAGGCCUUCGGGUCGUAAACCUCUUUUCUGGGGGACGAGUAAGGACGGUACCCCAGGAAUAAGUCUCGGCUAACUACGUGCCAGCAGCCGCGGUAAAACGUAGGAGGCGAGCGUUAUCCGGAUUUACUGGGCGUAAAGCGUACGCAGGUGGCUUCGUUAGUCGGACAUGAAAGCUCCUGGCUUAACUGGGAGAGGUUGUUCGAUACUGCG